AAAAAAGAAGAGAGGGUAGCUGAGGAACAACAACUACGGCGCCUCCUAACAAAAAGGGAUCGAAAAAACAAAAUCAAAAACAAAAAAAAAAAACAAUGGAGAAGGUGUGGAGUGUGGCGGAGGCAGAGACCACGUGCACUCUCUUCUCUUCUUCUUCUUCUCCUUCUUCAUCAUCUUCAUCUUCGUUUUCAUCUUCGUUUUCAUCUUCCUCUCUUCAUCUGCCAUUAUUAACUCUUUUGACCCCACCUUCUUCCUUCUCCUCUUCUAACUCCAACCUACCCUCUCUCCCAUUCUCUUUAAACCCUUGUCUCCCUCUCUCUCUCUCUCAUUCUCUCUCAUUCCUCUCUCAUUCUCUCUCUGUGUUCUGAGAUGGUCUUUUGACUUCUCUCUACCCAAACAGGUUCGAAAGUUUUCAUCUUUUGCUGAUUUUGGUAUCUGGGUGUUGUAAAGUUUUGAUUUUUACUAUGAUUUGGACUUGGUUUUNN
This 485-nucleotide long non-coding RNA is filed under the name Capsella grandiflora. Its description in RNAcentral is "long non-coding RNA (CGRA_LNC000250)". Lineage: Eukaryota; Viridiplantae; Streptophyta; Magnoliopsida; Brassicales; Brassicaceae. The record is from RNAcentral.